UCCCAAUAAACUACUUUGAGCAAGACUCCC
This 30-nucleotide non-coding RNA is filed under the name Mus musculus (house mouse). RNAcentral also lists the same sequence under 1 other name. Lineage: Eukaryota; Metazoa; Chordata; Mammalia; Rodentia; Muridae. The record is from RNAcentral.